RNAcentral lists this unclassified non-coding RNA (62 nucleotides) under Ancora cf. sagittata. RNAcentral describes it as "partial external transcribed spacer". Lineage: Eukaryota; Apicomplexa; Conoidasida; Eugregarinorida; Lecudinidae. The record is from RNAcentral.
UCAGUAUCCCUACACGUUACUAAACCAUUUCAAGUAACGGCUAAGUAUCAGUCUCACGCUGC